Molecule: RNA transcript, 3604 nt
Organism: Durio zibethinus
Lineage: Eukaryota; Viridiplantae; Streptophyta; Magnoliopsida; Malvales; Malvaceae
Gene name: transcription factor GTE4-like
Source: RefSeq, a predicted model, not a curated record
UAAAGUGCAUGCAGUUGCAGUCCAGUCCACCACAGCCAGACAGUCGCGCGUCAAUCCCCUAGAAACAGCCCGGAAUUAAAGCACACCCUCCCUCUCAUCGGCUGGGAAAAAUCUACAAAAAUUAAAGCUCCCCGCCAUAAUCUAACCCUUUACCCCGACUUGACGUCGCUUCACUCUCCCCUGUAUCCAAGCUUUCAAAUGGUUCGUGCUAAACACGAGAAGAAAAAGAGCGUGACUGGAACACCCUCCAUUCCCGCAUGAUACUUGAUACUUCCCGCGCACGGCUCUGUAGAUGCACCCACACGCUUCUCUCAGGUCGUUUGUAACCACGAGGGCUCUCCUCACCGUACACCUGUAAGAUAAGGAUAAAUGGAAAAAAGUCGAGGGAAAGAUAGUAGCGUGGAGAGAGAAAGACCGAUCUGAAAAUCGAACAACCGAAGGUAAGGUCUUUCUUUGUUUCUUUGUAUCUAUAAUUUAGUUUGGCUUUAUAUAGAUGGUUUUAGUUUUAAUUUUGUAGAUCGAGGAGGUGUUUUAAUCACUAGAUUUGUUGUGUUUGUCGUUGGAUUUGGUGGUUGAAACUUGGGGGAAGUCUCAAGUUUGGGAGUUGAAAUUAGGGUUUUGAAGGUGGAGGGAGUUAAAUCCUAGAUUGGAUUGAUUGCUGAGGCUGAAUUGUUUGGUUAGGGUUUUAAUACCCUAAUAUAUAUAUAUAUAUAUAUUUAUAUAUGCAUGGCUUCUGGGGCAGUAGUUGGAGAAGGUAAAGAUGGUGAGAGGGAGAAGCAUAGGUACACUGAGAGCAAGGUUUAUACUAGGAAAGCUUUUAAGGGUCCCAAUAAAAACAAUCUUGUCAACAUCACCUCGAACAACAACAACAACGUCAACAGCAUUGCUGCGAACAGCUCCUCUGUCACCGCUGUCCCUUCCGCUACCAACAACGAGAACAACACCAACAAACACUCUGCUGAAGCACCAGCUCAGCCUCUUCCUUUGGAGUAUGGGGGUUCAGCUCACCAAGAGCCUGCUCCACGCGAAGAUACUGCAGUGUCUGUUGACUCUUCAAGUCUUAACAAGCAGCAGGUUGCCAGUUCAGAGAACCUAGUGAAGAUCAAUUUGGCUUCAAGGUCAAAGCAGGAGAUGCGGGAAUUGAGGACGAAGCUGGAGAGUGAGCUUGAUUUGGUGAGGAAUUUGGUGAAGAUGAUUGAAGCUAAAGAAGGGCAAGAAAUUGGGUUCAGUAAUUCCCUUGUUCUGUUGAAUGAUACUGUUGAUUAUGGUUUCAAGAGGGUUCAACCAGAGCUGGCUUCUGUGGUUAUUGCUCGGGAGCCUGUUAAGCAAUCAAGGCCUCUGAACCAGUUGAAUAUUUCUGUCUUGGAAAACAGUCAGGGUGCGAAUGAAAAUUUGGAGAAGGAGAAGAGAACACCUAAGGCAAAUCAGUUCUAUCGAAAUUCUGAGUUUUUGCUUGCAAAAGAUAAGAUUCCGCCAGCUGAGAGUAACAAGAAGUCGAAAUUGAAUGGGAAGAAGCGAGGGGGAGGUGAAUUCACUCAUGGUAUGGGUAACAAGUUCUUUAAGAGCUGCGGUUCUUUGCUCGAAAGACUAAUGAAACAUAAGCAUGGUUGGGUCUUUAAUGCUCCUGUUGAUGUCAAGGGUUUGGGUUUGCAUGACUACUAUAGUAUCAUUAAGCAUCCCAUGGAUUUGGGUACUGUGAAAUCGAGGCUUAACAAGAACUGGUACAAGUCACCUAGAGAGUUUGCAGAGGAUGUGAGACUGACAUUUCGAAAUGCUAUGAUAUAUAAUCCUAAGGGACAAGAUGUUUAUGUAAUGGCCGAGCAGUUAUCAAAGAUAUUUGAGGACAAAUGGGUUGCUAUGGAGGCGGAUUACUUUCAAGAUAUGAGACUUGCAAUAGAAUAUGAAGUGAGUCUUCCUACGGCAACAACAAUAAAGGCACAUGCAAUGCUACCACCUCCACUUGAUAUGAGAAGGAUCUUGGAUAGAUCAGUGUCGAUGAUAUCCCCUGUUGAUGUGAGACCAAAACUGAGUAGGACCCCUACUCCAAAAAAGCCCAAGGUAAAGGAUCCGUACAAGAGGGAUAUGACUUACGAGGAGAAGCAGAAGCUUAGCACUAACCUUCAGGGUUUGCCUUCAGAGAAACUUGACAAUAUUGUACAGAUUAUUAAGAAAAGGAAUUCAGCUCUCUUUCAACAUGAUGAUGAAAUUGAAGUGGACAUUGACAAUGUGGAUACUGAGACUCUUUGGGAGCUAGAUAGAUUUGUUACCAACUACAAGAAGAGUUUGAGCAAAAACAAGAGAAAAGUUGAACUUGCCAUGCAAGCCGGAGCAGAGGCUGAGCAGAUUGUGCCAGAGAAGUUAAAAACCUCAGCUCCUGUUUUGGUCGAAGUGCCAAAGGAAGCCACAACUAAUGAACAGAAUGUGUCCAUGUCACCUGUUGAAGUUGGAAAACAGGGAGAUAAUGCUUGUAGGUCGAGUAGUUCAAGUAGCUCUAGUAGUGAUUCUGGGUCUUUUUCAAGUGACUCUGAUAGUGAAAGCUCCUCAGCCUCUGGGUCUGACGCUGGACAUUCACCAAAGUCUUGAAUGUUUUCAUUCAGUCAUGAUAUGUCAAGAGAGAUAAGUUUGCAAUACCAAGUACUUGAUGAUAAAAUUUCAAUUGAGCAUCAGAAAGAAGUUAGCUGCUGAGCAACACUUGUUUUUUUUUUCUUUGGAGUGAGGCGUUUUUCUACAAGAAGAGUUAUAUUAAUCCUCUCUGCUAUUCAGUUGGGUGAUCUAAGAGUUUAGAGUAGGUGCUGAUCCAUUAUGAUCCUGAAGCCUCGGAGAUUCAUUUUUAUGAUGUGCAUAAGUUUUUGGUGCCUCGAACUCCAAGGGCUCCAGCCAUUUUAGCCGCAGGAGAGUGGGUCUUUUUCUGUUUCUGCUGUUCUUGGAAGUCGGAAAAAUGCUGCAGCACUCUACAUGUGGACUAUUUGUAUAAUAUGAUUAGAAUUUGGUGGUCCAUGCUCUGAGGAAAAGUUGGGUUUUUGCGUUACUAACUACUGCUACUCAUUCUAGUUUCAGGGGACUUUUUUUCUUUUGGUUUAUGAUGGCAGAUUCAGGAUUCUUUGAUGUUGUAUAGAGGAAAUAGCAUUGUAAUUCAAGUUGAUGAAGUCCAUAAUUCCUUCAAAUGAAAUAAUCUGUGAAAAGCAUUUUAUUUUUGUGUUUGGUUAUCUUAUAAUUCAAGUUGAUGAAGUACAAAAUUCCUUAAAAUGAAAUAAUCUUAUGUGUUUGCACUGGGCAUCUUUUAUCGUAAUUUUAUUUAUCGUAUCAUACUAGUGGUUAGUCUGGAACUUGAAGAUAUGCUUUGGCGUUCGACAAUAAUGAAAAAAAUGAUUAGAUACUGCAAGCCACUUUAUUCUCGUUUCUAGCCACUUCGUCACGGUUGCCUCUGACCAACCCUGUUUCUCUUUUGGUGGGCUUUUGGGCUACCUGAGUUGACUCUAUUGUUUUUUCGGUUCAUAGGAGUUGAUUUUGUUGUUUUUUCUGACACUUUCUUGGAUGUACAGUCUUCGGAUCCUCUUCCUUUAUUUAUUGAUUCAGGUUUACAAGUGCACAAAUUGAACAAAUA